AAAGUCCAGUUAUGGAAGGAGAAGCUAGAUCCACCAUAUAGCUAGUCUUGUGCUGCUGAAGGUAACGACAGUAGUAAAGCAUAGACAAUGAAACAUUCUAGCUGAAAACAAAUGGUGAACGUUAUAGCCCUGCAAGUGAGGUGUAGUGGAAGCCGAUAUGUUCUACCACAUAGUAUAGCAAUAACAUAGGAAAUAGGUACAAUCAAAUAAACUUCAUUACGUGUUCUACAGCA
Non-coding RNA from Orientia tsutsugamushi, 233 nucleotides. The record is from Rfam. Lineage: Bacteria; Pseudomonadati; Pseudomonadota; Alphaproteobacteria; Rickettsiales; Rickettsiaceae.